AUUUUCCGCCGUCAAUAUGCCGCCGGAAAAUCACCUCAUCACCACCAUCCUCUUCCUCCUCAUUCUCCUCCCUCUUCCUUCUCCGACCACCGCCAUCACCACCACCGACACCCCCAAAUUCCGGGAAGCUCCAGCAUUCCGCAACGGCAAAAAUUGCCCAAUUUCAAAAUGGCCUGAAAAUCCCUACGAUCCAUCAACUAUCCACAUCGCAAUGACUCUCGAUUACUCCUCCCCUUACCUCCGUGGCUCAAUCGCCGGCGUACUUUCCGUUCUUCAACACUCUACUUGCCCGGAAAACACCUUCUUCCACUUCCUCGCCGUUCGCCGACACUUCAAUCACCUCAACAAAACCAUCACUUCAACUUUCCCAUACCUCAAUUUCAAUCUCUACAACUUUAACCCUAGUUUAGUCCGUCACUUAAUCUCCUCCUCGAUCCGCCGUGCACUUGAUCAACCCUUAAAUUACGCUCGGAUUUACCUCGCCGACUUACUUCCGACCACCGUUAACCGGAUUAUUUACCUCGAUUCCGACCUCAUUGUCGUCGACGACGUCGAUAAACUCUGGAACAUUGAGCUUAACGAUCGGGUUUUAGGUGCCCCGGAAUACUGUCACGCUAAUUUUACUCACUAUUUUACUCACAAAUUUUGGUUCCACCCAAUUUUCCCCAACACAUUCAAAAAUCGAACUCCCUGUUAUUUCAACACCGGAGUUAUGGUUAUCGAUUUGCAGAAAUGGCGAAAUGAUGAUUAUACACAAAAACUUGAACACUGGAUGAGAGUUCAGAAAAGGUACAGAAUCUACGAACUAGGCUCAUUGCCUCCGUUUCUAUUGGUUUUCGCCGGAAAUGUAAAGCAAGUGG
RNAcentral lists this unclassified non-coding RNA (860 nucleotides) under Hevea brasiliensis (rubber tree). The record is from RNAcentral. Lineage: Eukaryota; Viridiplantae; Streptophyta; Magnoliopsida; Malpighiales; Euphorbiaceae.